GCAAACUUCUAUCAACUCGGCUCCUUUCGCUGCAUUUAUUUUGUGCUUUGAAGUGUAUAGAGUUUAAUCUAACCCAGUCCAGUGUGUCACCGCAAACAGAUGAUUCUCGCGACCAUCAAACUAUAACUGCCUUCCUCCCCUCCCCCUUUUUGUGUCAUGUAACCUGCUGCUGUACUCAUUUUUCAACAGGUAUAGAAUAGCCUAAGCCUGUAGAGACCUUAAUUUGUG
RNAcentral lists this unclassified non-coding RNA (228 nucleotides) under Hevea brasiliensis (rubber tree). Lineage: Eukaryota; Viridiplantae; Streptophyta; Magnoliopsida; Malpighiales; Euphorbiaceae. The record is from RNAcentral.